AUCUUAAAUAAAAAAUAAAAUAAUAUUAAAUUUUCUUAAGUAAUUUUAUAUUUUUAAAAGUUUGAAUUAAUUAAAAGAGUCUACAGUCAUACAAGUAUUGUGGCAAUUCCAAAAAACCUACAAUCUAUUGUACUUCUCUAAGUUUUUCUAUUUAUUCUUCAAAUCAACUUUAGUGUAUCUAUAGAAAUGCAUCUCUAUUAUCAUUCAAGGUCUUCUUCUAAUGUCUUUUCUUAUGUUUGUAAAUUUGCCACUUCAAAAAAUUAACCUCUUCUUCUAAUUAUCACUUUUGUAUUUGUCUUUGUAUCAAGUUUGAUUCAACCAUAAGAGAGGAGUUAUGAAAUUUACAUUCACGUAUAGUUUGCCCAAAAUUACAAAUAAGCACUUCUGAAUGACCAUCAAUUUUUUCAAGGGACCAUUGUUAUAAUACGUGAAGUCUUGCUUGAGAAUGCUCUGGGUACUUGGCUGUGGAAGGUAGAAUAGAAAUUACAACAAAAAAAUCCUAACUAUAAUAGAAUAUUAACUAAAUUCUAAUUAGACCAUAAUAAUGCUAAGCAAGCUUUAAUCAAAUUUAAAAAAAAACCUCAAAGAAUUUUCAAAGAAACAAUAAGAAAUCUUAAAGAAAUAUAAGAAUGAUGACAAAUAUCUCUCAAAUACAUCCCAAUUCAAUCUCAAUUUAAUCUUAGUUAAAAUAUUAAUGAACAUUCAAAGUUUAGUCCAAAAAUAAUUAAAUUUUAAACCCUAAAGAAACCCUAAUAAAAUCCUAAACUCUAAACCAAAUCCCAAUCAAACCCUAAAUCAAACCCUAAACCAAAUUUUAAUCAAAUCUUAAUUAUAUUCUAAUCAAAUCCUAAACCCUAAACCAAACCUUAAUCAAAUCUUAAAUCCUAAGUCCUAAAUCAAAUCCUAAAAAAAUCCUAAACCAAAUCCUAAUCGAAUCCUAAUCAAACCCUAAACCUAAAUCAAAUCGUUAACUCUAAAUCAAAUCCUAAUCAAAUCCUAAUCUAAAUCCUAAUUAAACCUUAAUUAAAUCCUAAAUCUUAAACCAAAUCCUAAACAAAUCUUAAAUCUUAAAUCAAACCCUAACCAAAUCCUAACUCUAAAUCAAAUCCUAACCAAACUCUAAAUCCUAAACCAAUUCCUAAUCAAACCCUAGUAAUUCCUAUAAUAGAUUUAAACUUCAAUAAUUAAUGAAUAAAUCUUUGAUCUUAACUCAAAUUUUGCACACUUCUUACAAAAUAAGUUUAAAAUAAGCACAAAAAAUUUGGAAAGAAUCAGAAUUACCAAAUUGAUGAUAACCUCAAAAAUGUGCUCGGAUAUUGGCCGUCCUCUUCUCCAACCUUGAUGCCAAUCUUCUAGAGCCAAUAUCUCUCCUUUUCACUGUUCGAUUGAUUUCAAAUUUCUCAUACACAUAGAAAAACAAGUCUAAUAUCCUUUUACAUAAAUUUCAUUCUAAUCCAACUAUUAGAUUGCAAGAAGUCUUUAAAAUCCUCUUUGGACCUAAAAUUCUACUUUUUGAGACCUUGACCCACUUAAACCUCAAUAACCCUCAAUUCAACUAUUUGAUUGAAUUCAAAUUUAUAACACAUAUUAAACACAACUAUAACCAUAAACCCACAAAAUUUCACUUUUAGAUCUAUUACAAAACUCUUGAAAUCAUCCAAAAUAUAAAUCCUAUUUUAUUUCAUAAAAUCCAAGUCAUCCAAAACAAACCUUGACUUUGCAAAGUUCUUACAAAGUCAUAACAACUCCAAAACGCCCAAAAUCAAUGCUCAUAGAAACCUUA
Molecule: long non-coding RNA, 1783 nt
Filed under: Physcomitrium patens
Lineage: Eukaryota; Viridiplantae; Streptophyta; Bryopsida; Funariales; Funariaceae
Description: long non-coding RNA (PPAT_LNC005616)
Source: RNAcentral